This is a long non-coding RNA of Homo sapiens (human), 594 nucleotides long. The record is from Ensembl. NCBI's taxonomy places the organism in Eukaryota, Metazoa, Chordata, Mammalia, Primates, Hominidae.
GCUGUGCGGAGCUGGGGGAGGAGGAGGGAGCCCUGGGGGACAGACAGAAGGACCAUCGAAGGAGAAACCCUGCUGGCCUCGGGACCUGGAGGAAAGAACCAGGGCCCGUGCUCCUUGGGCCAGGAUCCGGCGAUUGGACGGAACCUCUCGGAUUCCCCAGUGCUGUGAAAUCCACUUGGGGCCAUCACACCCUUCAUUGCUGUGCUCCCUGGCAGAACUCGAAUGCAGCGUGAGCUGGGCACUUUUCCCAGGGUUUGCUCUAGGUCUGGGUCUCCCAUCAGCUCCCCCGGAGCAGAGCCUGAGAUGUCUUAGAGGAUAAAAAUGAGCGGGCAGAUGAAGAGAUACUCAGGGUGAGGUUUGGAAGGUGCACCAGGCCCACCCCAUGGAUGUGGCUCAGAGAGCCUGGGAAACGUGAGGUCUGUGACCUGGAUCAGGCCCAGAGAGACCUGAGCAGGAGGCGUGUGAAGCCCCUGCGCCUGUGCGAGGAGGGAAGCUGUUUCAGGGAAUUUGCCUUUCUUUCCCUGUAGUUUCAGACUAGCUGAUAAAUUACCUAAAAUGUUACCACAAGAUGCACAAUGUAACCAUCACUCAUUA